RNAcentral lists this long non-coding RNA (3255 nucleotides) under Lactuca sativa (garden lettuce). RNAcentral's name for it is "long non-coding RNA (LSAT_LNC008365)". The record is from RNAcentral. Lineage: Eukaryota; Viridiplantae; Streptophyta; Magnoliopsida; Asterales; Asteraceae.
CCUUUUCAAACCACUCGAUGUAUUCUUCCUCCUUUGGAAACAGCAUAAACAUGUCUGCAAAGAAACGAGACAACCAAUAGGUUGGAUGUACAGGCCCGAUUAAACAUGCCUUUCCUCCCAUCUUUAGAACCCUGUAUGCUUCUUUGAUGCCCCGUUGCGGUUCGGGCCAACACUCAAUGCUGCAAUCAAAUAAGGUCAGUGUCAUUUGGAACGAAUGGAAUUGGAAAUAUAAAGGAAUUAGUAUUCAUCGUUUUUUUGUUGGCAAAAAAUAGAAUGAAAUUGAAUCUCAUUUUUUGUUGUUGUAAAUUUACGAAAGAGAAUGGAAUGUGAGUUAUGUUAAAAGAAAAUUUUUGUUUAUAUUUGAUGGGUUUACGAUGAAAAUUUGGUCUUUUAAUACAAAUGUGUAAAUUACAUUUUUGGUCCUUGAAUAGAGUUGAGUCUUGUCAUUUUGGUCCUUAAUUAUAGUUGAGUUUUGCAAUUUUGGUUAUUAAAAGUUCUCUUUUGUAAUUACGGUGAUUAUUUGAGGUGUGGUCUUUUCAAGUAAAAUGACUAUAUUUUUGCAGCAAAUUUUGCAAAAUUGGCUUAUAAUGGGACCAAUAAUAGUCAUUUUCCUUGGAUCAGGAACCAACAACAUUACAAGAAUCUUAAAUAAGGACCAAAAUUGCAAAGAGUACUUUUGGAACCACAAACAUCUAUAUGCAUGGACUAAAAUCGUAAUUCACUCUAAAAAAUGACAAAUGGAUAUCAAUUCUUACCAUACACUUUUAGACCAUCUCCAACCCAUCUCCAUUUUUUCCCAUAAAUUGAGUAAAAAAUGGAAUAAAAUAGUGUUUCAUCUCCAACCCUAUUACAUUUUUUACUCCCAAAAAAUAUAUUUCUAGAAUAUUCUAUUUUUAUAACUUAUAUAUAUUAUCACAUACACCCCUCUACUAAUUAAACUCUAUAUUUAUGAUUAAUUAAUACAAAUUAGUAUAUAACAUGAUAUUAUAAAUAUUAAAUAUUGCAUUUAAAUUAUAAUUGGUAGAUAAAAUAAACUAGAAAUAUAUAAAAUAAAAAUGAGAGGGACUAAAAUUAGCAACCAAACUUCAUCUUUAUUUUUAGAGAUAUGAAUAGUAUUCCCCCAUAUAUGGGGGAAUAUUAUUGCUAUCUCUAAAAAUAAAGAUGAAGUNUAUAUAUAUAUAUAUAUAUAUAUAUAUAUAUAUAUCAUGAAUUAUGAGAAAAAUAUACCUUCCGGCUGAUAUAUAUCUAUCUGCAUAAUCUGUUUGGAAAGGAAGAUCCUCAGCAUCUCCCUCAAUGAUCUUGCAUUCCUUCAAUGGCUCCUUUUCCUUUGCUUUAGCAAGCUGAUGUGGCGAUUGAUCCAAAAUAGUAAUAUUUUUAGCAUCAACAUGUUUCACAAUACCCAAAGUUGAGAACCCGGUCCCACCACCAACAUCCACUACUAUCAUAUCACGGCUAUUGAGAUCAGCAGGUUCCAAGGCUUCGUCUCUCAUGUCUUCAGUCCAAUGACCCGGAUUUAUAACAUGAUCGUACACAAUUGACAUAAACCUGUAGAACCAAAAUGCCUCUUUUUUGUGUUGCAUGAACCUACGCUGUGAAGCUGGCCUUGGUACAGACAUACUGCACUUAGGUACAAAUAGGGUCUUACUUAUACGUCUAAAAUUCGAAUUCUCAAUGCCCAAAUUCAUUUUGAGGAAAGAUUUUCCCCCAUGCAAAUCCGACCCGUUAAACCCUAACCCGUUUGGUGACACUCUUCCUCUUAUAAUUGCAAGAUUCUCAACCCCAUACAGCAUUAAAGAAGCCAUUAUUGCUCAAGAAACAAAAAAACAGAUACAGAAAACUUGUAAUUUUAAAGCUCAAACUCACAAAUUUCAAGACUACGCAAAAACUUGUAAAUGAGAGUUCAUAUUCACAAAUUUGACGAAUUUCACAAUAACCCAAGUGGAAAAACUAUCAGGUGGGAAAUUGAUUAAAGUUUAUAACCCUGAUCUGAUAAGGUUUCGAUUCAAAUCUGCUAGAAGCAGAAUGGAGAUAUUAGUAUUGGUGACAAUUUGAAGAAAUUCAAGAAAUGGAACUUAAUAGAUGAGUUAAAUCACGAUUGUGGAUUGAUGAUAAUGAUCGGAAAUAAUUGAUACAUGACAAAACAGAAAAUCAGAAGUCGUGGCAAGGAGGGUGGUUAGUGGAAGUAGCAGGUGUUGGAGACGAACACGUGUACACAGCCGCAGAGCUGGUGAUAGGCACAUAUCUAUUAGCUAGAUUACAGAAAUGAUGUGGGGGCGACUGAAAUUCACUAGAAAAAAAAAAUCGUAUAUAGAUAUAAAUGUUUUCUUCGCUGUUUCUAAAUAAAUAAAACGAUGUUAUUCAGUCUGAUUUAAUCGACUUUUAACAAUUUUAAAUUAACCACAACCAAAUUGAAUAAGUUUGGGUUUAAUUGGCUUUUGGUUAUUUUAUGUCAGAUGUUUAAUUCAUUCACAAACUAGGAAGCCUAACAAACGACAUGUCUUGAAUCUUGAAGUUUAAACUGAAAACCAAAACCAGGCAUGGAAUUAUAUCAUAUCAUAGCAUACAAAACCAAAAUGGGAAAAUGCAACUCAACCUAAAACAAACCAAACCAAACCAAACCAAACCAAACCAUCUCUGAGGACUCAAAUUGGUUGACCUUUUGGGACAAUUUGAUCCUUGAGCCACAUGUACACAGGGACCAGGACAUAGUAGAUUCCAGCCAUCGCACCCACAAGAAACCGGGCUAGGAACACCAAUGGGUUCACUGGCUCCCUCACGUCCUCCACUUUUGGACCCAACUGCCACAUAUAACCCAACAAAAAAGUUAAAUUCAAGAAAUACUAAUGUACGUAUGUUUGAUUUGUUUAUUAUUAUUUACAUCAUUCUACUUUCAAUUCUUCUUAUUACAACAUUGUUCAUUGAAAUAUCUACUUGAUAAUAGCAUUUACCUGUAAUGGUGAAUCUCCUGAUGCGGGUUUAACUCCGGUAACAGAGCAGCCCAUGAUAAGACCAUGGCGGCGGACCCCACGGUACCACUUUGGGCCAAUCCUCUUGAUUUUAACAUCUUUGAAUCCAGCCUUUUCAAACCACUCAAUGUACUCUUCCUCCUUUGGAAACAGCAUCCACAUGUCUGCAAAGAAACGCGACAACCAAUAGGUUGGAUACACAGGCCCAAUUAAACAUGCCUUUCCUCCUAUCUUUAGAACCCUGUAUGCUUCUUUGAUGCCUCGUUGUGGGUCCGGCCAGUACUCAAUG